CAUUGCUGUACAGCAGAAACCAACACAACAUUGGAAAGCAAUCAUACUCUAAAUUAAAAAAAAUUUUUAAUUAAAAAAUGUUAGAAGUCUUAGGUGUUAAAUAACAAACAAAGCUAGUUCAAGCUCCCAACAGCAGAACUAGGAAAUUCUGGUGACCGGAAAAGGCCUUCGGAGAGAGGGAAGCAGCAUGCUGUGUUCAAGGGCAGCUUCUCAUUUGAACUUGAGUGAGUUCGGUUUGUUUCCUCUCAGUCAGUUCCGGGCACUUGUUGUGUUUUGAUCAUCCCAGCAUGCAGGCCGAUUGGUUACAGUUCAAAGACUGGGCUGCUGCUGCCGCUGCUGCUGCGUCACUUCAGUUGUGUCCGGCUCUGUGCGACCCCACAGACAGCAGCCCACCAGGCUCCCUGUCCUUGGGAUUCUCCAGGCAAGAACACUGGAGUGGGUUGCCAUUUUCUUCUCCAGUGCAUGAAAGUGAAAAGUGAAAGGGAAGUCACUCGGCCAUGUCCGACUCUUAGCGACCCCUUGGACUGCAGCCCAUCAGGCUCCUCCGUCCAUGGGAUUUUCCAGGCGAGAGGACUGGAGUGGGGCGCCACUGCCCUCUGAGCAGCACAACAUAAUUAAGAGGCAACUGACUUCUGGGAAAAGAGAGCUGUGUGCCCCCCGGGAGUGAGUCUGAUGGGCAUCUAUCUUGAAGAAUGUGGACAUUAAACAGCAAGACGCUAAGGAAGGACGUGCCAUAGAGGAGGGCAGAGGGGGAUUUGAAGGAUCUGAUGAUACAGGACUCCUCGGUGAGCCAAGAACAGCGGUUAAGAAGAGAAAGCAGAGCAGCGCUGAUCAGAGCUGGAUUCCCGCAGCACUUCUGAGCGUGCUGUCAGGCAGAAGGGGCAGAUAUUUCAGAGAAGGAAACUGAGGAUACAGUGGACCAAUCACUGGCUGUUACAAGAGCCCAGGAGUUCAGCCGCAGGCUUGUCUUCUUCCCAAAAGGCUCGGACGCCGUGUCCUCAGAGCGACCUGUGCUAUCUGGGGCCUCGCACUGCUGCUCACAAAGACUUCACACCGAAAGGAAGUCUCCCUCACGCUUGUGUAGCCUUCACCGAGAAGAAGAAACGCAGGAUUGCUUUUUUAAUUCCCCAAAAGAACUGUUUUUCAAAACCGCCGUUGGAAAAUCGUCUCUGAGGGACGACAGCCAAGGGAGGAUUCCUGUUUGGCGAAGAAGCAGACAGGCGGGUCCCAAGCAGCCUUUGGGGACUUUCCCCCGCUUUUGCCUAAAUGUCAAGUGUCGGGCAUUCACACGGUUAAAAACGACCUAAAAUGAGCAACUUCCCCAAUGCUGGAUGACAAGUGUCAAGCCCUCUGCCCCUCCCAUCCCAGGGGCUGUUGUGAGUUCUCAUCUUUAUAGGAGAAAACGCGGAACUUGAGUGGGCUGGAGCCACAGGCUGGCAGCAGAGAUUGGGUCCUUGUCUCCUUGGACGGGCCCUGGAAUCCUUCUGGAACACACAGGAUAUGUAUGAACAUGAUGGAGCAGAACACAGUUCUCUCCUGCCGAAUCCCACUUCUUCCCACCAACAUGGCAGGAAGAAAAAUGACCUCAUGGUUAAGCCUGUAAACUUUGGAAUCAAACAAACCUGUGUGCAAUCUUUGCGUUUUUUUUUUUUUUUUUAACCUAACAGUUCUGUGGCUUCCACCAAAUUCUGUAACUUCUUUGUACUUUUGUUUAUUCAUGUGCAAAAUGGUGAUAAAGAUCACCACCACACUGGGUUCCUUUGAAGAUGAAAUAGGAUAAGAUGCAGAGAGUGGAUGUGCACAGCCCUGUGGACUGUAGAUUUUAUUCUCGGAUUACCUGUUUGCUUCUCACCCUACCUCGGGGCUGUCAUUCAUGGGAUGAAAUAAGAAAGGAUGGUUUGGGGAGAAAGAUACUCUUGGUAACCUGCAGACUUUCUUGUGAAAAGUGAAAUCUCCCAGUUCCAGGUUGGCAUCUGUUGUUGGUAACUAGGUUGGCGCCAGCCAAUGAACCAAUUUACUGAGCACUAUUACUUGCUGGGAUGGCUUCCCUGAUGGCGCAGGUGGUAAAGAAUCCUCCCGCAAUGUGGGAGGCCUGGGUUUGAUUCCCAGGCUGGGAAGAACUCCUGCAGGAGGGAAUGGCAACCCACUCCAGUAUUCUUGUCUGGAAAACUCCAUGGACAGAGUAGUCUGGAGGGCUAUAGUCCACAGGGUCACAAACAGUCGGACACGACUGAGUGACUAACACCUGCUAGGCAGUGUGCUUAAGCCCUCUUAUAGGUAUAUGACCAGUGUCCACAUAGAUUAUAUUAUCCCGUAUGUUUUAUUCAAAUAAGUCCUGAUAACAGCCACUUCUCAGCACCUCUUCAGCAACGACGCUAGUCUCAGCCACCAUCUUCUCCCAAGAAGUCACAGCAGGAGCCUUCUCCUUGGCCUCCCCUCAUGCAUUCUUUCCAUUUCCAGUGAACUUUGGAGUCAACCAGAACAGGAGAACUGCCAGUCUGGAGAGAGAGUCAUGUUACAUACGGGGGCCCAGGGACUGUGGAAUCAGGGACUGGAUCCUGCCUUGCUCAGUUAGUUGCUAACAUACCUUCAGGCACAAGGUAGCCACUGACAAAGGUGCUUUCCAUGCCCCUGGUUGCGGGCUCCGAGGACGCCAGCCUCGCCGUCACCCAUCACCCGUCACCCGUCGCGGCUGAGACGAGCAGGCGUCGAGUGCAGCUGGCUGUCUCUGGUCGCCAGGGAAGUGCCUUCACUUAAGCAGACUGCUGGCAUUGCUUCCUCCUGUCUGCUCCACCAGCACAAUGAGAGGGAGACUUACCCACCCAGCACAGCCUAAGAUUUGAGAGGGCUUCUGCUCCAGGAAACACAGUACAUAGCCGAGAAUCUCUCUCUGCAGCCUUUUAAAGCCAGCCUUUGGAUUAACCAGACGUGUGAUGAGCAUUUUUUAAAAAACAUAUGUCUACUAAAAGUGAAAGUACUGUUGUUUUUGUUUAUAAAUACAUCAAAACACUCAGAUCCUUUAUUGAUCUGUGCUGAGGGAGUUGUGGGUUUUCAUACAAUGUUUUCUGAAAGAGUGAAAAGCGAAUACCUCAAAACGAAAAUAGGAUCACACAUGGUUUUAUCAUCUUGUGCAGUUCAUUUUAUUACAACCUGAUCUUAUGGAAGGAAUCCCAUUUUGGUUUAAUCUUUUGGGGCUCCCUGCUCAGCUAACUUGAAGGUUUAGCUUGGGAUGUUUAAUUCCAUAGUCUGUGAUUAUUUUAGGAAAUUUACUAAAAAGCCAAAACACAAUCUAUAGAGUGAUCCACUGUGGUGGAGUUCAAAGCAGAGUGCUCUAGCAAUUCACACACGACGGAACAGCAAAGGGGGAUGGCGUAGCCAAGCUGGCACCUGACACGAGAGGCCCUAGCCCCUACUAUGUUUCCUGGGGCCAGAGAUUGUGGCCGUGCAUCCUGUGAGAAAGCAGAAGCGGGAUGUACACGCGAUAAUUGUAACACCACAGCACACCAUGUCACUUAAGUGUACAAAGCACGGGCUUCUAGUGUUAGAGAAGCUGCCUGCCAAAGCAGGAGACAUGAAAGAGGUGAGUUCAGUCCCUGGCUUGGGAAGACCCCCUGGAGAAGGGAAUGACGACCCACUCCAGUGUUCUUGCCUGGAGAAUCCCAGGGACAGAGGAGCCUGCUGGGCUACAGUCCACAGGGUUACAAAGAUUGGACACAACUGAAGUGACUUGGCCACGUGAACAAAGCAUAGUACAAAAUAGUUUGCAUUGAACUGGAUAGUCAGGCAGUCAAUAUGUAUUUUAUUAAUCACCUGCUGUUUGCAAGGUACUUUCAUAACUAUGAAAUAAUCUAUAUAAAAAAAAUCUGAAGGGAGUAUGUAAAAAUGAGGCUGAGUCAGGAAGAUGGGAUUAUCAUGUGUUCUUUGUCUUUAUUCUCCCCUAAUAUUGAAACAUAUAUGCUUUCAAACGGGACCUUAUUAAACUUAGAAGUUUUGCACAGCAAGGGAAGCCAUCAACAAAACAAAAAGACAACCUACUGAAUGGGAAAAAAAAUAAUUGCAAAUGAUAUG
This 4068-nucleotide long non-coding RNA is filed under the name Capra hircus (goat). Its description in RNAcentral is "lncRNA (ENSCHIG00000002377.1)". The record is from RNAcentral. Lineage: Eukaryota; Metazoa; Chordata; Mammalia; Artiodactyla; Bovidae.